AAACAACGAGCGAUAAUUGAUCGCAACGGCAGGUGUUCAGAGACAGCUAGCGGGGGAAUUAAUUUGUUUGAGGUGGAAUAUAUAAAAAAACACUGGACAACAAAAACUAUUUUCAAAGAGGAAAAAGAAACAACCGCCUUGACGAGAAGAGAUUUCUCACUGAUUCACCUUGAUCGAACCAAAUCAAAUGACAACCAUGUUGAGGAGUCACCUUUUGUAUGCUAUGAUUGCUACAGUUGUAAUAGUGGAGAUAUUACAGACCGUGGAUGCUGCGCCAGCUUGCCUCUGUAUGGACCAUGGAAUAUCCUGUCUUAAUGGCUGCAUAACCGACACAUGUGCGAACAGAUGUAAUCUAGAAAAGAUGAUGUGCUACAAGAAUUGUCGCCGAAGUAAGAAAGACGAAACAAUGCUUGAUGCACUGGCUGAUGAGUACAUGUUGUUGGACAACUCACUAUAAUAUCGACAGAAAGAAGCAGAGCAAAACGAAUUUCCUUUUCUGUUUUGAGACAAAAGAGAUGCAGUAGUAUAAAAUGAUUCACCUACAGGAUAUGUUAUUAAUGCCGGUUUGUAAAACACUGUUGAUAACUAAAACUUGUCGAUGAAUUGAAAGGUGUCAAUAAAAUGAAAGGAUACCAAAGACCGUCGUUCCAAAGUUUAUUGCAGUGGCUUUACUGAAGGCUGAAUCAGAUAUCUCUGUGAGACAGGAUUCUUAAAGGGUAAUAAAUUUGCCUUUUUCCACUGGAAAAUGCACUGGACACAUAACAUUCAGUAAGAAACCAGAGAAAUUAAUGUGACGAAAUUCUCGAGCUGUUGUGAGUGGGGGAGGGUGGGGGUGCACUUACCCUGGAAGUCUUAUCAGCAAUUCAAACCCGACUGUGACUCGAGUGCUCGAUAUUUCCUCCAGUGUAGGCCGUUCCAGAAUAGAGACCUUUAGAUGAAAAUACGAGUACGAGUACGAGUGCGAUUUUCAAAUUUCAAACCAGUGACUUUUCCAGAACCCUUGCUCUUUAUGUUGGCUUUAUGGGUAGAGAGGGUAGCUCAUAGGACGGGUAGGAAGAGAUGGGUAUGAAGAGAUGGGUGUGUGACGUGGAAAUGUAGAGCCUACAAACUAAAUUGAAAAGUCGAACUCGUACCCCAUCACGUAUUCUUACUCACAUCUUAAGUCCCCUGGUAAUACAAAAGACCAGAAAUGACACAAGAGUGGCACCCGAUCAUGUGAACUGAAGGUGUCAAGCACAGCCAUAACCAAUGUCUUAAAUGUCAUAAUCAUUAUAUCGGUUUGCCUGCUCGAUGAGAGGCUGGGAACUUCCCAGCUUUUAUUUAAUCAUCGUACGAUGUAACAACCUUGCCUAUGUAGGUUGCCAUUAAGUUCCACGCAUGUGCUGUUUGCGGCAAAGGCCUUUUUCUUUUAGAUGGACGGCUUUAGGCAGGCUUGCUCUGUGUUGCUAUAGCUUGCAAUGCACCUUACAGUCUGCGACCAACUAUAAGAUCAAUGCACAAAGGUAACAAAAACGUACUCAUCUACAUCAACAUUCUCCCUCUCCUCGUCGACAGACAAAAGAAAACGAAGCUUCUUAUCAUAUCAUAAAUCUACCAAUCAAUUUCAUGGCUGGUUUUUCUGCUUAUUUUGGAGCACUUCUUCUACUUUAUUGCUGCUUUCAUUCAGUGUACUGCUCGUGUGACUGUGACGCACUCUUUAACCAAUGUUUUUCGAUGUGCAGUGACCCCAGCGAAUGCACGGCUUGUACGUCAAGGAAUGAAGAAUGCAAGAGUAAUUGCUCAGGAAAAAGGAGUUCAGAAGAUUGGAAAACUACAGUACAUGCAAAGUCCGUGCUGAUCGGUCCAGGCCAAGAUGACCAUCUUCCGUUGGGUCACAGUCUGAAGUAUCUGUUGCGUGACAUCCUAGCCAAACGUGAGAAGGAUGGUCAGCAUUAACGGCCGGAGAAUUCAGAGUUCUUAAAUAUUUUCGUUAACUCUGCCUGGCAGCAAAAUAUAACCAGCAGACAAUCUCGCUAAAAUAAUUUGUAAUUUGGUAAAGAAGUUAUGUCUGCCCUGAAAAUAAAUUUUGCCUUGACAAAGAUGGUCUACUCUUUCUCAAAGUCCAACCUUCUUGCUAACUGUGAAAGGCAGUUUAAUUGAGCGGGACACAGCGGUUACUUGAGAAACCAGUGAUAACGUGGAAAUUGUUCAUUAUUGAAUUUUAAAAUUAAAACUCUGCAUUUUGUUUUUAACCCCAGCCGCCUUUACGUCAAACGAGCUAGUGUCACCCCAAGCGUCGCUUUCAACGAGCAAAGUUACAACAGUUUAGUCUUAGUUUAAACAGACAUACAAAUGAGGUAAAACGAUCAAUAUAAGGCAGAAUUGACCCUUUUGUCUCGUUUGUUUGCCAAUGUUAUAACAGCUUUUUUAUCACUGACAAAGCAUGCCACAAGCGAAAGCGAGGCCUAUAAUUUUGAGCAACUGACGUAGCCGCAUUCAUAACAGAAUAAGUUUCAUUUGGUUAGAAAGCAGAUCAUAAGAAUGAUCAAGUGCUAUGAAAUAGUGAGCUUAGAGCAUCUUGCAACCAUGGUCAGCUUUUUUGGCCUUUUUAUGCCUCGUUAACAUGGUGUGCCGGUAGCUUUUUACUGGGCUCCAGGUUUCCACAGAGUUAACGCCCUCUUCCGUUGCCGCCUUUGAGCGCAUUCUGUGGCUGGAAGCUUAACCUUACACUAUGAGACUGACUGCCAAUUUUUGUAACGUUAUAAAUAGAAGACAUACUGAAGCUUUCGCUGUGCUUCAAGAUAUCACACUACAUUUAGAUAUGUUAUGCGAGAGCGAGGGCCUCACGGGCAGAGUACCGGUUAACGUUCAAAUCAACUCCACGCUCGUCUCAGUUUCUUAGGCGCUAUCCCAAAAAAACAAAUCCUCUUUUAAAGUUGCACUUAAAGUGUAUAUUUGUAGGGACUGAAAAUUGGUCAACAAUUUAGCUGCCAGCUGAAUAGUGACUACCCUGGGUCACCCAGGGGACCACCCAGGGUACGAAAUCACUUGAUUUUAGCCGAUACCUGAGAUCUGCAAAAUUUACUGAUAACUGAGAAAUGAGUUGAAAUGUUAACUGAUAGCUUUGACAUCUUGGAAAUUGAAAGGUAACUGAUGUUGAAGUCCCCAUCUCAUUGCUUACUUCAUUGGCUUUGAAACAGUUUUGUCCCAGCUUCUAUACUAUACAUCAUACGUUGAAUGAAACGCUGCAUAAUUUAGGAAAAGUUACAUCUCUUCCUCCCUCUACAAUGGCCACUUUACAGGACUUUAUCCUGCCCCGAUAGUUGUAGAGA
Molecule: long non-coding RNA, 3311 nt
Organism: Orbicella faveolata
Lineage: Eukaryota; Metazoa; Cnidaria; Anthozoa; Scleractinia; Merulinidae
Source: RefSeq, a predicted model, not a curated record